AGUGAACGCUGGCGGUAUGCCUAAUACAUGCAAGUCGAACGACAGCACAGUAAGAUCGUGCUCCUACGGUUAGCGACGGACGGACGGGUGAGGCGUACAUCGGAAUCCUCUUUGUCGGGGGGGACUACGGAGAGAAAGUGAUGCUAAUAGCGCAUAUGUCCUACGGCUUGAAGCAGUGGUUAUUCGGGCCUUUGGUGAUUCAAAUAGACGAGGUCGGAUUAGCUAGUUGGUUUGGUAAAGUCACACCAAGGCAACGAUACGUAGCUGGUCUGAGAGGAUGAUCAGCCACACUGGAACUGAGACACGGUCCAGACUCCUACGGGAGGCAGCAGUGGGGAAUCUUGGACAAUGGGCGCAAGCCUGACCCAGCCAUGCCGCGUGAGUGAAGAAGGUCUUCGGGUCGUAAAGCCCUUUUGUUAGGAAAGAACAGAUGUAGGUUAAACCCCCGCUGUUCUGACGGUACCCAAAGAAAAAGCCACGGCUAACUUCGUG
RNAcentral lists this ribosomal RNA (492 nucleotides) under uncultured bacterium. RNAcentral's name for it is "partial 16S ribosomal RNA". It matches the Rfam family "Bacterial small subunit ribosomal RNA", at positions 29 to 507 of the family's 1533-position model. The record is from RNAcentral.